Molecule: ribosomal RNA, 449 nt
Filed under: Aysha proseni
Lineage: Eukaryota; Metazoa; Arthropoda; Arachnida; Araneae; Anyphaenidae
Description: partial 16S ribosomal RNA
Source: RNAcentral
UUCUAUUAGAAAUUAUUAAUAGUACAAUCUGCUCAAUGAACCAUUAAAUAGCCGCAAUUAUUUCUGUGCUAAGGUAGCAUAAUCAUUUGUCUUUUAAUUGAAGACUAGAACAAAAGAUUUAACAUUUUAAUUAAUUUUUUUUAAAAAGAAAAUUAAAAUUUUUUUUAAAUGUAAAAAACCAUUUAUAAAAUAGGAAGACGACAAGACCCUAUUGAACUUAACUUCAGUUAAACUGGGGCAGUUAAUUAAUUAUUAUUUUAAUAUUAUUAAUAAUAAAAAUUGAUCCAAUAAAAUUGAUCACAUAAUCAAGUUACCAUAGGGAUAACAGCGUUAUAAUAAUUUUAAGUUCUUAUUUAAAUUAAAUUCUUGCGACCUCGAUGUUGAAUUUAUUACCUAAUAGAUGCAAUAAUUUAAUCUAAGGAAGUCUGUUCGACUUUUAAAAAAUAACA